Molecule: long non-coding RNA, 633 nt
Filed under: Capsicum annuum
Lineage: Eukaryota; Viridiplantae; Streptophyta; Magnoliopsida; Solanales; Solanaceae
Description: long non-coding RNA (CANN_LNC008683)
Source: RNAcentral
AAACAUCCUAAACAAGAACUUUGCAUAUAGGUACAAGAUUAGCCUAACAUGAGUUGUACGAUUAGUUAUUAGAGAAAGAGAAUUGAAUGAUUUCAUUUAAUUACCAUAUAGUGUCAAGCAUAUGCUUAACAUUGGCGAAAGGAAUUGAUUAACUCACAAAUACAUUGAUAGUUCAGGUUCUUACACGUAAUGAAGACAACAAAACCUUUGAGCUAAGCAUCUGUAAAGGCCAAAACAGCCUAAACAAGAACUAUGCACAUAGGUACAAGUUUGGCACGACGUGAGUUGUACGGUUAGUUAUUGGAGAAAGAGAAUAGAAUGAUUUCAUUUAAUUACCAUAUAGUGUCUACUGUCGAGCAUAAAAUGCUAAACACUGGCGAAAGGAAUUGAUCAACUCAAAGACACAUGUAUAGUUCAGGUUCUUACACUUACCGAAGACGACAAAACCUUUGAGCUAAGCAUCUGUAAGGGCCAAAACAGCCUAAACAAGAACUUUGCACAUAGGUACAAGUUUGGCACGACGUGAGUUGUACGGUUAGUUAUUACAGAAAGAGAAUAGAAUGAUUUCAUUUAAUUACCAUAUAGUGUCAAGCAUAAAUGCUUAACAUUUGUGAAAGGGAUAGAUCAACUCAC